RNAcentral lists this ribosomal RNA (328 nucleotides) under uncultured eukaryote. RNAcentral describes it as "partial 18S ribosomal RNA". It matches the Rfam family "Eukaryotic small subunit ribosomal RNA", at positions 1470 to 1796 of the family's 1831-position model. The record is from RNAcentral.
CCCUUAGAUGUUCUGGGCCGCACGCGCGCUACAAUGAUGAAUUCAACGAGUUUAUAACCUUGGUUGAAAAGCCUGGGUAAUCUUUUGAACUUUCGUCGUGAUGGGGCUAGACCCUUGCAAUUAUUGGUCUUCAACGAGGAAUGCCUAGUAGGCGCAAGUCAUCAGCUUGCGUCGAUUACGUCCCCGCCCUUUGUACACACCGCCCGUCGCUCCUACCGAUUGGGUGUGCUGGUGAAAUGUUCGGAUCGGCCGUUUGUCGCGGUUUCCGCGUCAUGUGGCUGAGAAGUUCAUUAAACCCUCCCACCUAGAGGAAGGAGAAGUCGUAACA